GAUCCUGGCUCAGGAUGAACGCUAGCGGCAGGCUUAACACAUGCAAGUCGAGGGGCAGCAUAAUGGUAGUAAUACUAUUGAUGGCGACCGGCGGACGGGUGCGUAACGCGUAUGCAACCUACCCUUUGCAGGGGGAUAACACUGAGAAAUCGGUACUAAUACCCCAUAAUAUUCUGGGAGGCAUCUUUCGGAGUUGAAAGCUUUGGUGGUAAAGGAUGGGCAUGCGUUGUAUUAGCUAGUUGG
This 243-nucleotide ribosomal RNA is filed under the name uncultured bacterium. RNAcentral's name for it is "partial 16S ribosomal RNA". It matches the Rfam family "Bacterial small subunit ribosomal RNA", at positions 15 to 252 of the family's 1533-position model. The record is from RNAcentral.